Felis catus (domestic cat) is the source of this 1028-nucleotide long non-coding RNA. RefSeq lists it as uncharacterized. The record is from RefSeq and is a predicted model, not a curated record. The transcript has 3 exons. Lineage: Eukaryota; Metazoa; Chordata; Mammalia; Carnivora; Felidae.
ACCUGCUGGGUGCUGGGAGCAUCCAUACCUAGGGACACUUGAGAUUUGCGCAAAGGUUGCCUGAAAGGAAGCAAAAGAUCUCUAACCAGAUAUUGAAGUCCAGCUAAUGAUGUUCGUGCUGUGGUAUUUGGGGGGGAUUAGCAACUUACUCUGAAUGGAUCGAAGAACAUGGGGCAGAGAGAUGCGUGGAAAUCAGGCUGGCCGUGAGAUACGGAGUCUGGCAAAAGUCGAGCACGGCAUGGAGGUGGAGGGUCUAUGGGCGCUUGCUGUAAAAUGCUUUCUUCCAACUUUUACGUAUAUUUAUACACUUCCAUAAUGAAAUAUUGGUGGGGCGGGGAGAGAAACGAAAGGGCACCCCAAAACAGCCUCACGUGAAAGGCACCUCGUUGUGGUGAGUUUUCAGAGCUGCUGAGGCUUUCAGAGGCUGCAGAGAGAGGAGCGAACGGGAAAGACUCAGAGGGCUCAGAACUGACCCAGAGCCUCCCAAGGCAGAGAUUCCCUCUGUGGUCUGCGUUAAGACCGGUCGCGGCGGCCUGGGUCUGCGUUCAAGACGCAAUUUCCUGUUCCUUGGGAUGAAGCACAUCUUGGACUUGGACUACCUCUCUCUACACGGCCUUUGGUCACCACCAGGAAAGAUGACAAUGGCCAUCUCCCCAGGGACACUGGGAGACUCCUCGAGUGUGUUUGCAGAAAUAGGGGAAGGAGUAGAGACACAAAGCGGCUUCGUAUCUAGAAACGGCUCACAGAGAACCCAAACCAGGAACCUACCCAGCAUGCUAACUGGAACCAUCACCUUGCUUUUCCAAACAAGCCCGUAUUUUAUUUUGAGACUCCUGUUCGUCAAUGCAAAACACUCUGUCCCCAUGCUUAGCCCUGUAAAGCAUUAUAUAUCUGAGAAGCCAGGAAAAGAGGGUGGCAGGAGAGGUUUUGGAAACGGAGCCAGAUCCCAUGCUGGGGAAUUCUUAAGUGCCAUCCUGGCCUGCAAAAAGAGAAAGAAAAGAAAGAAAGAAAGAAAAAGAAAAAACAAG